RNAcentral lists this ribosomal RNA (458 nucleotides) under Capnocytophaga sp. oral taxon 329. Its description in RNAcentral is "bacterial SSU rRNA". It matches the Rfam family "Bacterial small subunit ribosomal RNA", at positions 28 to 492 of the family's 1533-position model. The record is from RNAcentral. Lineage: Bacteria; Pseudomonadati; Bacteroidota; Flavobacteriia; Flavobacteriales; Flavobacteriaceae.
GAUGAACGCUAGCGGCAGGCCUAACACAUGCAAGUCGAGGGAGGAGCUUUCGGGCUUCGACCGGCGUACGGGUGCGUAACGCGUAUACAAUCUGCCUUUCACAUAGGGAUAGCCCGAAGAAAUUUGGAUUAAUACCUAAUGGUAUAUAGAUGUGGCAUCAUAUUUAUAUUAAAGCUGAGGCGGUGAAAGAUGAGUAUGCGUUCUAUUAGCUAGUUGGAGAGGUAACGGCUCCCCAAGGCGACGAUAGAUAGGGGUUCUGAGAGGGAUAUCCCCCACACUGGUACUGAGAUACGGACCAGACUCCUACGGGAGGCAGCAGUGAGGAAUAUUGGACAAUGGUCGGAAGACUGAUCCAGCCAUGCCGCGUGCAGGAAGACGGCCUUAUGGGUUGUAAACUGCUUUUGCAGGGGAAGAAUAAGGACUACGUGUAGUUUGAUGACGGACUCUGCGAAUAAGCA